Molecule: unclassified non-coding RNA, 208 nt
Filed under: Hevea brasiliensis (rubber tree)
Lineage: Eukaryota; Viridiplantae; Streptophyta; Magnoliopsida; Malpighiales; Euphorbiaceae
Source: RNAcentral
CUUUAAGUGCUUUGGAUUCCUAUAUUUCUAAUAUUCUGUCAAUAGUCACUCAUAAACAGCAAACAAAAGAAAAGUGCACAUUUGUUAUAGUCCCAGCCGAUGCUAAACCAAGUUCCACACUGGAUUCCUUAUGUUCCACGCAUUUUUUGCUAAACCAAAAUAUGCUGAACUGAUAGUAAAGUGCCAAUCUUGCAACGAUGCUAGAAAA